RNAcentral lists this microRNA precursor (93 nucleotides) under Carassius auratus (goldfish). The record is from RNAcentral. Lineage: Eukaryota; Metazoa; Chordata; Actinopteri; Cypriniformes; Cyprinidae. RNAcentral also lists the same sequence under 4 other names.
GGUGUGUGUGCUGCAGCUGGUGUUGUGAAUCAGGCCGAUGUCACACGUCCGCGAUAACCCGGCUAUUUCACAACACCAGGGUGGCACCACACC